This 364-nucleotide ribosomal RNA is filed under the name uncultured bacterium. RNAcentral describes it as "bacterial SSU rRNA". It matches the Rfam family "Bacterial small subunit ribosomal RNA", at positions 28 to 412 of the family's 1533-position model. The record is from RNAcentral.
GAUCAACGCUGGCGGCGUGCCUAAUGCAUGCAAGUCGCACGGGCUGCCUUCGGGUAGUCAGUGGCGAACGGCUGAGGAACACGUACGAAUCUGCCCUCCGGUGGGGAAUAACGCACCGAAAGGUGUGCUAAUACCGCGUACGCGCGCAAGCGGAAAGCCGCGAGGCGCCGGGGGAGGAGCGUGCGGCCCAUCAGAUGGUUGGGCGGGGUAAGUGGCCCACCAAGUCGGUGACGGGUCGCUGGUCUGUGAGGACGAUCAGCCAGACUGGGACUGCGACACGGCCCAGACACCUACGGGUGGCAGCAGCAAGGGAUCUUCGGCACUGGGCGCAAGCCUGACCGAGCAACGCCGCGUGCAGGAUGAC